This 442-nucleotide ribosomal RNA is filed under the name uncultured bacterium. RNAcentral's name for it is "partial 16S ribosomal RNA". It matches the Rfam family "Bacterial small subunit ribosomal RNA", at positions 338 to 795 of the family's 1533-position model. The record is from RNAcentral.
CCUACGGGAGGCAGCAGUAGGGAAUCUUUCACAAUGGGCGAAAGCCUGAUGGAGCAACGCCGCGUGCAGGAUGAAGGCCUUCGGGGUGUAAACUGCUUUUAUAAGGGAGAAAUAUGAUGGUAACUUAUGAAUAAGGAACGGCUAACUACGUGCCAGAAGCCGCGGUCAUACGUAGGAUCCGAGCAUUAUCCGGAGUGACUGGGUGUAAAGAGGUGCGUAGGGGGCAUAGUAAGUAGCUAGGGAAAUCUGGUGGCUCAACCAUUCAGACUAUUAGCUAAACUGCUAAGAUCGAGACCGCUAGGGGUAGCUGGAAUUUUUAGUGUAGGAGUGAAAUCCGUAGAUAUUAGAAGGAACACCGAUAGCGUAGGCAGGUUACUGGGACGGUUCUGACACUAAGGCACGAAAGCGUAGGGAGCAAACGGGAUUAGAUACCCCUGUAGUC